UCCGAGUCUGUCAAUUUGAAGGUCCUUGCUUCUUGCUGGGGCCAGAGAAAGGGGGAAUACCACCCUUUGGGACCUGUGGGAAGGGGCAGGUAGACUCUCCAAGGUAGACUUAGUGGCUGGAGCAUUUGUUAUGCAAAUUCUGUCAGCACUAGACCUCAAACCAGGGCACAGUUCCUGGCAGAGCCAUCACAUCCUGAGAGCAGAGGUCCUGCAGCUGUUUUGCGUCAAAUGACUCAUAGAUGCCACGCAGCAAACAAAAUUGUCCUCGGUAAAUAUGGGAACUGUGCUUGGGUUAUUCUCUCCAUAAAAGUAAUGAUUUCCCAAGACUGCUUUUGUUACAACCCAUUAAUAAUUAAAAUGCUUGUAUUUUUGCUGGGAAACCUGAAUUUUUAAAAUAUGGUCACCUUUAUUGAAGAGUGAGGCCUGGAAAGAUUUCUUUGUUCAAUGAGAGAGGCAGAAGCUGUCUCCAAGCAACAAUUCCUUCCAGUGAGGAAGUAUACAUCCAAAGGGUUCAAAGAAUUUCCUUCAGGCAGUGACCUGAAGAGGGACACCUGGCCCUGAUGUCACAAAAAUGCUGAUCCUGAGGAGAAAUGGUUUCUGGAAGAUCAGCUGGGAGAGUCCUGAGCCUAACACCCCAGGACAGUGGCCACACCCAGUACCAGAGUGCACCCCACCUCCCUCCUGGGCUUUACAACCUGGCAUUUAAUUUGGAAGGAGACAUUUGUUUCCGGUGGUAAAGUGGAAGUUUUGAGAAAUAGAUGCCUUCUGUCUUUGCCUUUCUUGAUUUUCCUUCUGCCUCCUGAGCUGAGCAGACAGAGUUCAUUUUGAAGGAAAAGGGUGAAGAACCUGGGAAGGUGUUGACAGAAGUCUCUCAUUCCAGGUGACAAGAUAAUGUCCCACUCCUGGAGUAUGGAGCCAGAGAUGCCACAGCUGGGUUCACACUCUACAAAUUAUGGAUGUCUGUGCCCUGAAUGUCUGUGUCCUAGGGUGUGUACUGUCAUGUGAAUAUAUGCUAGAGCCUUCUCACCCAGGAAAAUUUCACAUGACUCAGGCAUAUGACUGUAUAAAAAUGGGUAUAGAAAGCAAAGAUUGGUGCCCGGCAUUAGUGGCACACGCCUUUAAUCCCAGCACUCGGGAGGCAGAGGCAGGCAGAUCUCUGUGAGUUAGAGGCCAGCCUGGUCUCCAGAGCGAGUGCCAGGAUAGGCUCCAAAGCUACACAGAGAAACCCUGUCUCGAAAAACCAAAGAAAGAAAAAAAAGAAAAGAAAAGAAAGAAAGAAAGAAAGAAAGCAAAUAUUGACAAAUAAUGCAUUGUUAAAAUUUACUUAUUUAUUGGUUUUUUGAGACAGGGUUUCUCUGUGGCUUUGGAGGCUGUCCUGGAACUAGCUCUUGUAGACCAGGCUGGUCUUGACCUCACAGAGAUUCUCCUGCCUCUGCCUCCUGAGUGCUGGGAUUAAAGGCAUGAGCCACCAACCCCU
This 1477-nucleotide long non-coding RNA is filed under the name Cricetulus griseus (Chinese hamster). RNAcentral describes it as "lncRNA (ENSCGRG00015035659.1)". The record is from RNAcentral. Lineage: Eukaryota; Metazoa; Chordata; Mammalia; Rodentia; Cricetidae.